CGCCCCCGCCGAAAUAAAUAGUGUGUACAGGGCACGCCGCGUGAGUGAUGAAGGCUUUCGGGUCGUAAAACUCUGUUGUUAGGGAAGAACAAGUGCUAGUUGAAUAAGCUGGCACCUUGACGGUACCUAACCAGAAAGCCACGGCUAACUACGUGCCAGCAGCCGCGGUAAUGCGGUAAUAA
Molecule: ribosomal RNA, 182 nt
Filed under: uncultured Bacillus sp.
Lineage: Bacteria; Bacillati; Bacillota; Bacilli; Caryophanales; Bacillaceae
Description: partial 16S ribosomal RNA
Rfam family: Bacterial small subunit ribosomal RNA
Source: RNAcentral